Molecule: long non-coding RNA, 214 nt
Filed under: Carica papaya (papaya)
Lineage: Eukaryota; Viridiplantae; Streptophyta; Magnoliopsida; Brassicales; Caricaceae
Description: long non-coding RNA (CPAP_LNC005696)
Source: RNAcentral
UGGUGAGCAGUCCUAGGCCCCUAAUCCUACAUCAUAGACCAACACCAACUGCAUCGAGCCAGUCGAACAAGAGGCUAAGGAUCGCUCCUCAAGUUCCUUCCCAGGCUCGAUAGUAGGAUGUGGUAAAAUUUGUCAGCACUGUGACAAAUAUCAUGGGGACUGACCGUAUUACCGUCUCAACAACACCUACUGUAUAUGUGGGAGUACCCAGUAU